GCCGGGUGUGGUGGCCCACGCCUUUAAUGCCAGCCCUUCGGAGGCAGAGGCAGGUGGUUCUUUUUGAGUUUGAGGCCAUCCUGGUCUACAUAGUGAGUUCUAGGCCAGCUAAGGCUACGGGGAGACCCUGUCUCAAAAGGAAAAAAAAAAAAAAAGGAGGGUCUCAUUAUGUAGCCCUGGUUGGCCUGGAACUUACUAUGUAGACCAGGCUGGCCUCCAUUUCACAGAGAACCACCUGCCUCU
RNAcentral lists this small RNA (243 nucleotides) under Nannospalax galili (Upper Galilee mountains blind mole rat). RNAcentral describes it as "Metazoan signal recognition particle RNA (ENSNGAG00000008668.1)". The record is from RNAcentral. Lineage: Eukaryota; Metazoa; Chordata; Mammalia; Rodentia; Spalacidae.